Molecule: ribosomal RNA, 460 nt
Filed under: uncultured bacterium
Lineage: Bacteria
Description: partial 16S ribosomal RNA
Rfam family: Bacterial small subunit ribosomal RNA
Source: RNAcentral
CCUACGGGUGGCAGCAGUGAGGAAUAUUGGUCAAUGGGCGCAAGCCUGAACCAGCCAAGUAGCGUGAAGGAUGACUGCCCUACGGGUUGUAAACUUCUUUUGUAAAGGAGUAAAGUGAGGCACGUGUGCCUUUUUGUAUGUACUUUAUGCAUAAGGAUCGGCUAACUCCGUGCCAGCAGCCGCGGGAAUACGGAGGAUCCGAGCGUUAUCCGGAUUUCUUGGGUGUAAAGGGAGCGUAGAUGGGUUGUUAAGUCAGGUGUGAAAGUUUGCGGCUCAACCGUAAAAUUGCAAUUGAUACUGGCAGCCUUGAGUACAGUUGAGGUAGGCGGAAUUCGUGGUGUAGCGGUGAAAUGCUUAGAUAUCACGAAGAACUCCGAUUGCGAAGGCAGCUUACUAAACUGCCACUGACAUUGAUGCUCGAAAGUGUGGGUAUCAAACAGGAUUAGAUACCCCUGUAGUC